GAGGGUAGAGCUCAGCAGUAGAGCACAUGCUUAGUAUGCACUAGGUCCUGGGUUCAACCCCCAGUACCUCCA
This 72-nucleotide transfer RNA is filed under the name Camelus ferus (Wild Bactrian camel). It matches the Rfam family "tRNA". Rfam says of the family: Transfer RNA (tRNA) molecules are approximately 80 nucleotides in length. The record is from Rfam by way of RNAcentral. Lineage: Eukaryota; Metazoa; Chordata; Mammalia; Artiodactyla; Camelidae.